Molecule: non-coding RNA, 169 nt
Organism: Candidatus Omnitrophica bacterium 4484_70.1
Lineage: Bacteria; Pseudomonadati; Candidatus Omnitrophota
Source: Rfam
GAAGUCCGACCACGACAAAGGUUAGCCACCAGUCGUGUAGUGAACUCUGCAUAUAGGGAGGUAACGAACUAUAUGAAGCCAGAGGGAGCAAGAUACUGGGCUGUAACGCAAGUGAAGGGAUUGAGCCCGUGCAGCGAAGCUAUCUGUUGGCCUUGUGGGUGUAAGUCCC